RNAcentral lists this transfer RNA (91 nucleotides) under Erythrobacter sp. RNAcentral describes it as "tRNA-Ser". It matches the Rfam family "tRNA". Rfam says of the family: Transfer RNA (tRNA) molecules are approximately 80 nucleotides in length. Their secondary structure includes four short double-helical elements and three loops (D, anti-codon, and T loops). RNAcentral also lists the same sequence under 8 other names. The record is from RNAcentral. Lineage: Bacteria; Pseudomonadati; Pseudomonadota; Alphaproteobacteria; Sphingomonadales; Erythrobacteraceae.
GGAGCGGUGGCCGAGUGGUCGAAGGCGCACGCCUGGAAAGUGUGUAUAGGGUAACCCCCUAUCGUGGGUUCGAAUCCCACCCGCUCCGCCA